This 995-nucleotide ribosomal RNA is filed under the name Colpoda sp. LH20100323B12. RNAcentral describes it as "SSU rRNA". It matches the Rfam family "Eukaryotic small subunit ribosomal RNA", at positions 1 to 1019 of the family's 1831-position model. Lineage: Eukaryota; Ciliophora; Colpodea; Colpodida; Colpodidae. The record is from RNAcentral.
AACCUGGUUGAUCCUGCCAGUAGUCAUAUGCUUGUCUUAAAGACUAAGCCAUGCAUGUCUAAGUAUAAGUUAUAUACAGCGAAACUGCGAAUGGCUCAUUAAAACAGUUAUAGUUUAUUCGAUUAUUUUCUUCUACAUGGAUAACCGUAGUAAUUCUAGAGCUAAUACAUGCUGUCAAACCUGACUUUUCGGAAGGGUUGUAUUUAUUAGAUAUUAAACUAACCCUGGCAACAGGAUAGUGAUGAUUCAUAAUAACUGAGCGGAUCGCGGCCUCGCCGCGACGAAUCGUUCAAGUUUCUGCCCUAUCAGCUUUCGAUGGUAGUGUAUUGGACUACCAUGGCGAUCACGGGUAACGGGGAAUUAGGGUUCGAUUCCGGAGAGGGAGCCUGAGAAAUGGCUACCACAUCUAAGGAAGGCAGCAGGCGCGUAAAUUACCCAAUCCUAAUUCAGGGAGGUAGUGACAAGAAAUAACAACUCGGGCCCCACUUGGGGUUGCGAGAUUGCAAUGAGAACAAUUUAAACCACUUAUCGAGUAACAAUUGGAGGGCAAGUCUGGUGCCAGCAGCCGCGGUAAUUCCAGCUCCAAUAGCGUAUAUUAAAGUUGUUGCAGUUAAAAAGCUCGUAGUUGAAUUUCUGGCCGGCGCUGUUCACGGCUCUCGCAGUCGGUUCAGGAGCCUGGUCAUCCUUAUGGGAAGCUAGCACGUCCUUCAGUGGUCGGCUAGUGGAUCAUACACUUUACUUUGAAAAAAUUAGAGUGUUUCAGGCAGGCAAUUGCUUGUAUACUGCAGCAUGAAAUAAUGAAAUAGGACUUUGACCUAUUUGUUGGUUUCUUGAGGUCAAAGUAAUGAUUAAUAGGGACAGUUGGGGGCAUCCGUAUUUAAUUGUCAGAGGUGAAUUCUUGGUAUUUAUUAAAGACGAACUUAUGCGAAAGCAUUUGCCCAGGAUGUUUUCAUUAUCAGACGAAAGUUAGGGGAUCAAGACGAUCAGAUACCGUC